RNAcentral lists this ribosomal RNA (274 nucleotides) under uncultured bacterium. Its description in RNAcentral is "partial 16S ribosomal RNA". It matches the Rfam family "Bacterial small subunit ribosomal RNA", at positions 523 to 796 of the family's 1533-position model. The record is from RNAcentral.
AGAUGUAGGGGGCGAGCGUUAAUCGGAAUUACUGGGCGUAAAGCGCGCGUAGGCGGGUUAAUCAGUCGGAUGUGAAAGCCCCGGGCUCAACCUGGGAACUGCAUUCGAUACUGUUAAGCUAGAGUAUGGUAGAGGGAAGUGGAAUUCCAGGUGUAGCGGUGAAAUGCGUAGAUAUCUGGAGGAACAUCAGUGGCGAAGGCGACUUCCUGGACCAAUACUGACGCUGAGGUGCGAAAGCGUGGGGAGCAAACAGGAUUAGAAACCCUAGUAGUCC